GGAAAAGAGAACGACAAGGCAGGCGGAGGUGUGUUGGGGAGUGGAGUGCGACUGGUUGCAUCGUCUGGGGUCCAGUUGAGAUGGAAAUGCGGGCUCCUCGCUCAACACAAAUGUCAAGACGUCAGAGCAUCAAACCGCAUCACAGACUCUGGCCUCCAGGAGGAACUCUUUGACACAUAUAUGGCAACUAAACCAUCAGCAGAAGUUUGCUUGGGUUUUCUGGGACACCACUGUUGAAGAGGAAUCUUAUGAAAACCAUAGAUUCAAGACACAGGCAUAACUUGAAAUUUUCUAACAGCUACAUACAAAAUUUGAAAGGAACAGAUUAAGUUAAUUAAAUUCAUUUUUAGAAUAUAUUUCAUUUAUCUAAUGUAUUAAUAAUAUUAUCAUUUCAAAAUGUAAUUGAUAGCAACAUAAUUGAGACUUUUACAGUGAGUUUUGUGAGUCCUAAGACUGGAACCUGGUGGGUAUUUAACUUUACUCCUCUAUCCCAUUUGGAUUAGUCGCAUUUCAGAUGCUCAGGGGUGACUGUGGCUGGUGGCCCCCCCAGGUGGGGAACAGAUGUCCGAUAUUAGGGGGGAAGUGUUACAAAACAGGGACUACAGCCUCCCUUGCUUGUUACCCAUCUCAAGGGGAUGCUUGGAACAUUUUACCAUCAAGUAGGAUACUUGCUAGAGGUUUUGUUUUGUUUUUGCAGAUGCCAGGAUAAAGACAUUCCCUGGAUUCCUAGUUUGCUAGGAUUUUAAUAACAUAACAGAUGCUGGCUUUUUCCUGGAACUAUGGAGAUGAUAUGUCUUCCACCUCUGAUCUUCUAAUGUGGUGAAACACCCUGACUGAGCUAGUUUGUCGCCUCCCCGCCCCGUGUUGGGGAUUGAACUCAGGGGUGCUUUACCACUGAGCUGUAUCCCCAGCUGCCCUCCCCCUCCUCCUCCUCCUCCUCCUUUUUCUGUCUUAGGGUAGGGUUUUUCCUACCCAGUUGCCCAGGCUGGUCUUGAACUUGUGAUCAGCCUCCCAAAUCAGUGCUUGAGGCACUGCUCCUAGUUUAAAUUGAUUUUCAAAGUUAAACCAGCCUAAUUUUAUCACAAAGUAUUAUCACUUUUUAUAUACUGCCAGGUUUGAUUUGCUAAUGCUUUCAGAUUUUUUUUGUAUCUUUCUUCAUGAGUAACACUGGUCUAUAAUUUUCCUUUUUUGUACUGUACUUGUCAUACAAAGAAUUAGGAGGAAUUCCUCUUCCUCUUAUGUGGGGAUGUUGGGGUUAAGACUGGAAUGAUUUCUUUUUAAAAUAAACCACAGGUGAAGCCCUCUGGGUCUGGGUUUCUUUGUGGGGACCAUCACUAACAAUCCACCCAUUUCCUUUCGUGAUUAAGGGGAGGUCUGUUUAGCUUAUGCAAAAGACUUCAGGUCACUGAAAUACCCAGACACGUUCAUACCAGCUGCACCAGUACACAGCCGCACUGCCAGUCACCUGAACACUCUGACCCAGGUCCGCCAGCCCUCUAUAAAUCAGUCUGUGCUGGGGUCAGGCAUCGCCUCCUGUACUACACACUGGUGUCAUGACCAGGGUCAGCCCACUGUGUCUUCCCUCUGUUCUCUUGGUCAAUUUCACCAAAGGGCUAGCAACACUCUUAAGUCUUUUCCUAGAGAAAACUGGGCUGGGGAUUUAGCUCAGUGGUUCUGCUGUCUGCCUUGCA
Heterocephalus glaber (naked mole-rat) is the source of this 1691-nucleotide non-coding RNA. Lineage: Eukaryota; Metazoa; Chordata; Mammalia; Rodentia; Bathyergidae. The record is from RefSeq and is a predicted model, not a curated record.